RNAcentral lists this ribosomal RNA (253 nucleotides) under uncultured bacterium. RNAcentral describes it as "partial 16S ribosomal RNA". It matches the Rfam family "Bacterial small subunit ribosomal RNA", at positions 524 to 776 of the family's 1533-position model. The record is from RNAcentral.
UACAGAGGUCCCAAGCGUUGUUCGGAUUCAUUGGGCGUAAAGGGUGCGUAGGCGGCGGGGCAAGUCAGGUGUGAAAUCCCGGAGCUCAACUCCGGAACUGCAUUUGAUACUGCCUUGCUCGAGUACUGGAGAGGAGACUGGAAUUUACGGUGUAGCAGUGAAAUGCGUAGAUAUCGGAAGGAACAUCAGUGGCGAAGGCGGCGAUCUGGACGGAUAUUGACGCUGAGGUGCGAAAGCGUGGGGAGCAAACAGG